CCUACGGGGGGCAGCAGUGAGGAAUAUUGGUCAAUGGACGCAAGUCUGAACCAGCCAUGCCGCGUGCAGGAAGACGGCUCUAUGAGUUGUAAACUGCUUUUGUACGAGGGUAAACUCAGAUACGCGUAUCUGUCUGAAAGUAUCGUACGAAUAAGGAUCGGCUAACUCCGUGCCAGCAGCCGCGGUAAUACGGAGGAUUCAAGCGUUAUCCGGAUUUAUUGGGUUUAAAGGGUGCGUAGGCGGUCGGAUAAGUUAGAGGUGAAAUCCCGAGGCUCAACUUCGGAAUUGCCUCUGAUACUGGUAGGCUAGAGAGUAGUUGCGGUAGGCGGAAUGUAUGGUGUAGCGGUGAAAUGCUUAGAGAUCAUACAGAACACCGAUUGCGAAGGCAGCUUACCAAGCUACGUCUGACGUUGAGGCACGAAAGCGUGGGGAGCAAACAGGAUUAGAUACCCUUGUAGUC
Molecule: ribosomal RNA, 460 nt
Filed under: uncultured bacterium
Lineage: Bacteria
Description: partial 16S ribosomal RNA
Rfam family: Bacterial small subunit ribosomal RNA
Source: RNAcentral